GCCGAUGUAGCUCAGGGGUAGAGCAGCUGUUUCGUAAACAGCAGGUCGCAGGUUCGAAUCCCGUCAUCGGCUCCA
This 75-nucleotide transfer RNA is filed under the name Fimbriimonadaceae bacterium. RNAcentral describes it as "tRNA-Thr". It matches the Rfam family "tRNA". Rfam says of the family: Transfer RNA (tRNA) molecules are approximately 80 nucleotides in length. Their secondary structure includes four short double-helical elements and three loops (D, anti-codon, and T loops). The record is from RNAcentral. Lineage: Bacteria; Bacillati; Armatimonadota; Fimbriimonadia; Fimbriimonadales; Fimbriimonadaceae.